This 253-nucleotide ribosomal RNA is filed under the name uncultured bacterium. RNAcentral describes it as "partial 16S ribosomal RNA". It matches the Rfam family "Bacterial small subunit ribosomal RNA", at positions 524 to 776 of the family's 1533-position model. RNAcentral also lists the same sequence under 1 other name. The record is from RNAcentral.
UACGUAGGGUGCGAGCGUUAAUCGGAAUUACUGGGCGUAAAGCGUGCGCAGGUGGUUCGUUAAGUCUGCUGUGAAAGCCCCGGGCUCAACCUGGGAAUGGCAGUGGAAACUGGCGAGCUUGAGUGUGGCAGAGGGGGGUGGAAUUCCACGUGUAGCAGUGAAAUGCGUAGAGAUGUGGAGGAACACCGAUGGCGAAGGCAGCCCCCUGGGCUGACACUGACACUCAGGCACGAAAGCGUGGGGAGCAAACAGG